GUGGUGGCAGCAAAAUAUUAGUGACCUCUCUGUUACAUUACAAUAUGUUGAAAAUUAUGUUGGUAGGGACAUCUGAUUUAACCUGAUGAAUGCCAACAUCUCUGGCCUUUUCAUGGGCCGCGUGUGUUGGCGAAGUUGGCAUGUAUAACUAGCUUUUGUUGGAUGACGACCUGACGUGUUGGUAUAAUUUAUCCACAGAAUCAAGACGUUGGUUUGGUCUGAUGGACUUCUCUGCUGGUAAGGAGUUACGACUUGGUUACCACAAGUGUUCGAUGUGGGCAGACAAUGCAGAUGGCCUAUGAUGAGUACAUGUAUAAGAGUAGUGGACAGGAGUGAUUUCUGAGAACGUUUUAAUCUGAGGUUUUUUCUUCUUAAGCGUGUGACUUGGAUCUCCCUGCACUUGAGUAAUGCUUCUUUUCUUCUUUUUGGUAGCAUCAGCCAACAGUUGGACAUGGGUCAUCCACAUAAAGGUGCAAAAUUUGCAUAAGCUGUCACACUGGUAAGCAAUCUCUCUUUGAAUGUGUGUGCAUUUGACUUGCUGUGAUAUGAUGAUUUUUUUUGUUUAAAAACAUUGGGAAUCUCUCUGAAUAAGAGUGAAGGAGAACUUUUUUCUGAUGCGGCAUCAAAAUGUCUGGCUUGUAUGUCCUUGAAUGUUCCACUCUAAAAAUCGUCUACAUCUGUC
This is a long non-coding RNA of Clupea harengus (Atlantic herring), 682 nucleotides long. NCBI's taxonomy places the organism in Eukaryota, Metazoa, Chordata, Actinopteri, Clupeiformes, Clupeidae. The record is from Ensembl.